RNAcentral lists this ribosomal RNA (492 nucleotides) under uncultured bacterium. RNAcentral's name for it is "partial 16S ribosomal RNA". It matches the Rfam family "Bacterial small subunit ribosomal RNA", at positions 29 to 507 of the family's 1533-position model. The record is from RNAcentral.
AGUGAACGCUGGCGGUAGGCCUAACACAUGCAAGUCGAACGGCCGCACAGUAAGAGCUUGCUCUUACGGGUGGCGAGUGGCGGACGGGUGAGGAAUACAUCGGAUUCUACUUUUUCGUGGGGGAUAACGUAGGGAAACUUACGCUAAUACCGCAUACGACCUACGGGUGAAAGCAGGGGAUCUUCGGACCUUGCGCGAUUGAAUGAGCCGAUGUCGGAUUAGCUAGUUGGCGGGGUAAAGGCCCACCAAGGCGACGAUCCGUAGCUGGCCUGAGAGGAUGAUCAGCCACACUGGAACUGAGACACGGUCCAGACUCCUACGGGAGGCAGCAGUGGGGAAUAUUGGGCAAUGGGCGCAAGCCUGAUCCAGCCAUACCGCGUGGGUGAAGAAGGCCUUCGGGUUGUAAAGCCCUUUUGUUGGGAAAGAGAAGCAGCAGGUUAAUACCCCGCUGUUCUGACGGUACCCAAAGAAUAAGCACCGGCUAACUUCGUG